UUAAGCGACUAAGCGUACACGGUGGAUGCCCUGGCAGUCAGAGGCGAUGAAGGACGUGCUAAUCUGCGAUAAGCGUCGGUAAGGUGAUAUGAACCGUUAUAACCGGCGAUUUCCGAAUGGGGAAACCCAGUGUGAUUCGUCACACUAUCAUUAACUGAAUCCAUAGGUUAAUGAGGCGAACCGGGGGAACUGAAACAUCUAAGUACCCCGAGGAAAAGAAAUCAACCGAGAUUCCCCCAGUAGCGGCGAGCGAACGGGGAGCAGCCCAGAGCCUGAAUCAGUGUGUGUGUUAGUGGAAGCGUCUGGAAAGGCGCGCGAUACAGGGUGACAGCCCCGUACACAAAAAUGCACAUGCUGUGAGCUCGAUGAGUAGGGCGGGACACGUGGUAUCCUGUCUGAAUAUGGGGGGACCAUCCUCCAAGGCUAAAUACUCCUGACUGACCGAUAGUGAACCAGUACCGUGAGGGAAAGGCGAAAAGAACCCCGGCGAGGGGAGUGAAAAAGAACCUGAAACCGUGUACGUACAAGCAGUGGGAGCACGCUUCGGCGUGUGACUGCGUACCUUUUGUAUAAUGGGUCAGCGACUUAUAUUCUGUAGCAAGGUUAACCGAAUAGGGGAGCCGAAGGGAAACCGAGUCUUAACUGGGCGUUAAGUUGCAGGGUAUAGACCCGAAACCCGGUGAUCUAGCCAUGGGCAGGUUGAAGGUUGGGUAACACUAACUGGAGGACCGAACCGACUAAUGUUGAAAAAUUAGCGGAUGACUUGUGGCUGGGGGUGAAAGGCCAAUCAAACCGGGAGAUAGCUGGUUCUCCCCGAAAGCUAUUUAGGUAGCGCCUCGUGAAUUCAUCUCCGGGGGUAGAGCACUGUUUCGGCAAGGGGGUCAUCCCGACUUACCAACCCGAUGCAAACUGCGAAUACCGGAGAAUGUUAUCACGGGAGACACACGGCGGGUGCUAACGUCCGUCGUGAAGAGGGAAACAACCCAGACCGCCAGCUAAGGUCCCAAAGUCAUGGUUAAGUGGGAAACGAUGUGGGAAGGCCCAGACAGCCAGGAUGUUGGCUUAGAAGCAGCCAUCAUUUAAAGAAAGCGUAAUAGCUCACUGGUCGAGUCGGCCUGCGCGGAAGAUGUAACGGGGCUAAACCAUGCACCGAAGCUGCGGCAGCGACGCUUAUGCGUUGUUGGGUAGGGGAGCGUUCUGUAAGCCUGUGAAGGUGUACUGUGAGGUAUGCUGGAGGUAUCAGAAGUGCGAAUGCUGACAUAAGUAACGAUAAAGCGGGUGAAAAGCCCGCUCGCCGGAAGACCAAGGGUUCCUGUCCAACGUUAAUCGGGGCAGGGUGAGUCGACCCCUAAGGCGAGGCCGAAAGGCGUAGUCGAUGGGAAACAGGUUAAUAUUCCUGUACUUGGUGUUACUGCGAAGGGGGGACGGAGAAGGCUAUGUUGGCCGGGCGACGGUUGUCCCGGUUUAAGCGUGUAGGCUGGUUUUCCAGGCAAAUCCGGAAAAUCAAGGCUGAGGCGUGAUGACGAGGCACUACGGUGCUGAAGCAACAAAUGCCCUGCUUCCAGGAAAAGCCUCUAAGCAUCAGGUAACAUCAAAUCGUACCCCAAACCGACACAGGUGGUCAGGUAGAGAAUACCAAGGCGCUUGAGAGAACUCGGGUGAAGGAACUAGGCAAAAUGGUGCCGUAACUUCGGGAGAAGGCACGCUGAUAUGUAGGUGAAGUCCCUCGCGGAUGGAGCUGAAAUCAGUCGAAGAUACCAGCUGGCUGCAACUGUUUAUUAAAAACACAGCACUGUGCAAACACGAAAGUGGACGUAUACGGUGUGACGCCUGCCCGGUGCCGGAAGGUUAAUUGAUGGGGUUAGCGGUAACGCGAAGCUCUUGAUCGAAGCCCCGGUAAACGGCGGCCGUAACUAUAACGGUCCUAAGGUAGCGAAAUUCCUUGUCGGGUAAGUUCCGACCUGCACGAAUGGCGUAAUGAUGGCCAGGCUGUCUCCACCCGAGACUCAGUGAAAUUGAACUCGCUGUGAAGAUGCAGUGUACCCGCGGCAAGACGGAAAGACCCCGUGAACCUUUACUAUAGCUUGACACUGAACAUUGAGCCUUGAUGUGUAGGAUAGGUGGGAGGCUUUGAAGUGUGGACGCCAGUCUGCAUGGAGCCGACCUUGAAAUACCACCCUUUAAUGUUUGAUGUUCUAACGUUGACCCGUAAUCCGGGUUGCGGACAGUGUCUGGUGGGUAGUUUGACUGGGGCGGUCUCCUCCUAAAGAGUAACGGAGGAGCACGAAGGUUGGCUAAUCCUGGUCGGACAUCAGGAGGUUAGUGCAAUGGCAUAAGCCAGCUUGACUGCGAGCGUGACGGCGCGAGCAGGUGCGAAAGCAGGUCAUAGUGAUCCGGUGGUUCUGAAUGGAAGGGCCAUCGCUCAACGGAUAAAAGGUACUCCGGGGAUAACAGGCUGAUACCGCCCAAGAGUUCAUAUCGACGGCGGUGUUUGGCACCUCGAUGUCGGCUCAUCACAUCCUGGGGCUGAAGUAGGUCCCAAGGGUAUGGCUGUUCGCCAUUUAAAGUGGUACGCGAGCUGGGUUUAGAACGUCGUGAGACAGUUCGGUCCCUAUCUGCCGUGGGCGCUGGAGAACUGAGGGGGGCUGCUCCUAGUACGAGAGGACCGGAGUGGACGCAUCACUGGUGUUCGGGUUGUCAUGCCAAUGGCACUGCCCGGUAGCUAAAUGCGGAAGAGAUAAGUGCUGAAAGCAUCUAAGCACGAAACUUGCCCCGAGAUGAGUUCUCCCUGACUCCUUGAGAGUCCUGAAGGAACGUUGAAGACGACGACGUUGAUAGGCCGGGUGUGUAAGCGCAGCGAUGCGUUGAGCUAACCGGUACUAAUGAACCGUGAGGCUUAACCU
RNAcentral lists this ribosomal RNA (2903 nucleotides) under Escherichia coli. Its description in RNAcentral is "23S ribosomal RNA". It matches the Rfam family "Bacterial large subunit ribosomal RNA". The record is from RNAcentral. Lineage: Bacteria; Pseudomonadati; Pseudomonadota; Gammaproteobacteria; Enterobacterales; Enterobacteriaceae.